Molecule: ribosomal RNA, 330 nt
Filed under: Triticum aestivum (bread wheat)
Lineage: Eukaryota; Viridiplantae; Streptophyta; Magnoliopsida; Poales; Poaceae
Description: partial small subunit ribosomal RNA
Source: RNAcentral
AUGAUUCUCUUACGGUGAAACUGCCGCGGGAUGCGUCAGUCCCGGGCAGUUAGAGCACUCCUGGAUGUUCAGAAGUGCUACAAACCAGAUGUGUUAUUUCUAUCGAAAACUCAUCUGUCGGACGCAAGGGCCGAAUGGUUGAUGAGGAAGCCAGGGUUCCAGGAGAGGCUGGUUGACCUGAGUGAUGGUAGGGCGGGAGGCUUACUGAUGAUGUGGAGGAAUGGAGUGUCUGUCACAAAACAUGGGGUAACUACAAAUUUUAUUGACGUAACAAUAGAUGAUGGAAGAAAAUGGAGGUGUACAGGCUUCUAUGGUGAGCCGGUGAAAUAG